RNAcentral lists this long non-coding RNA (423 nucleotides) under Mytilus galloprovincialis (Mediterranean mussel). The record is from RNAcentral. Lineage: Eukaryota; Metazoa; Mollusca; Bivalvia; Mytilida; Mytilidae.
AAAAGCUGUGUAAGCUCAUUAGAAUCAUAAAUACAAAAAUGGAUUCUCUCUGAUAAAAUGUAAGCCUUCAAACCUAUGCAUUCUUUUCUUCUCUAUUUGCUGUUACCUCACCAUAUGUUUAUAAUAUUAUUAUAUAUGUCUAUGUGUUUCUGUAUACCAUUGUAUCAACAUAGGUUCUUCAGAAUAAUAUAUAUAUAUAUAUAAAGAGAAAAUUACUGUGCAAAAAAGGAAAAUAAAUAGAAAAAGAAUUGCGAUUGUAUUGUUCUUGUUCAUCUCAAAGUAAAAGUCAGUUGGACCUUGUAAAUAUGUUGUGACUCCCGAAUUAGAAAAAAACAACAACUUAGGAUUAAGGAAUCAAACAAUUACUGAGAUAAAAAGUAUUUACAAUGAUAGUGCAACGUUAAUUGCAUGGUGUAGCACCAG